RNAcentral lists this long non-coding RNA (420 nucleotides) under Pan troglodytes (chimpanzee). RNAcentral's name for it is "long non-coding RNA NONPTRT006455". Lineage: Eukaryota; Metazoa; Chordata; Mammalia; Primates; Hominidae. The record is from RNAcentral.
AGGCCACUUGGUCCAGGGAUGUGGCUUCAGCAAGCAUUUGGGUGCCUCCUCUGUGUUCAGGACAUGGGGACUCCGGGAGACUGAAGGAAGCAAGUGGCAAUGUCCAUGCCGUCAAGUUCUGUGACAGAAAUAAGCAGGAGCAAGUGAAAGAUAGGAGAGAAGCUCUGUGACGGGUGGCAUUCAAGCUUAGCUUCUGGGCAGGAAGAGGCAGCUAUGUCAGCAUUCCCUAACAAGCCCAGCCCUGGAAGGUGGAAGAAGAAAAGUUGACAUGGAAUGUUUGGGAAGCACCGCUGGUCCAGGUCCAGGAUCGGGGCAGCCAGCAUGUCCUCUAAUCUGGCCUCACUGUUGAAAUCCAGUCGAGCAGGCAGGGCCCAAACCACUGCGAGACCAGCUCGGUCGGGCGCAAACCACCGCCCACUG